This 520-nucleotide long non-coding RNA is filed under the name Homo sapiens (human). RNAcentral's name for it is "non-protein coding LINC01815:10". The record is from RNAcentral. Lineage: Eukaryota; Metazoa; Chordata; Mammalia; Primates; Hominidae.
AUGGCAGAAUGACAUCCCCCAUUUGGCCCGCUGGAAAUGCCCACCAUCUUUUGGGAAGAUUUACUGGCUGUUUAUAGAAUGCCUGCCUAUAUAAUAUGAAAAAGCUGCUCUCAACUUCUCCCCCAAAACCUUUUAAAAGAAAACAUUUGCCACAUCCAGCCCUUCUAGAGUAAAGAGGUUGCCAACGUAUGAAGUAGAGUUAGAAAAUCACACACCUUGCAAAUUCUCAUUAGUUUAAAAAGAAGUCAUAGAAAAUGUCUUCUGGAGUUGACUUUUUGAAAUGGAGUUAUUAGACCACUUCUGGAAGCAACACGUCCACGUUUGUUCAAUGGGCUAGAGGACAUGGAGCAGAAGACCUGAGAAGGAAAAGAAGUGCCAGUAGAACGUAUGUCUGAAACUCUCCCCUUUCUGCCUGAAGUUAGAAGACUACAUGUUGAAAGUUUGCUUUGAGCUUGGUUCUUCUUGAACAUGCAGCUUCAAAUCAAUGUCUGUCUGCUCAUAAGUUCAACCAAACCAGGAC